Molecule: ribosomal RNA, 1201 nt
Filed under: Vibrio campbellii
Lineage: Bacteria; Pseudomonadati; Pseudomonadota; Gammaproteobacteria; Vibrionales; Vibrionaceae
Description: bacterial SSU rRNA
Rfam family: Bacterial small subunit ribosomal RNA
Source: RNAcentral
CGGCGUCGAGCGGCGGACGGGUGAGUAAUGCCUAGGAAAUUGCCCUGAUGUGGGGGAUAACCAUUGGAAACGAUGGCUAAUACCGCAUAAUGCCUACGGGCCAAAGAGGGGGACCUUCGGGCCUCUCGCGUCAGGAUAUGCCUAGGUGGGAUUAGCUAGUUGGUGAGGUAAGGGCUCACCAAGGCGACGAUCCCUAGCUGGUCUGAGAGGAUGAUCAGCCACACUGGAACUGAGACACGGUCCAGACUCCUACGGGAGGCAGCAGUGGGGAAUAUUGCACAAUGGGCGCAAGCCUGAUGCAGCCAUGCCGCGUGUGUGAAGAAGGCCUUCGGGUUGUAAAGCACUUUCAGUCGUGAGGAAGGUAGUGUAGUUAAUAGCUGCAUUAUUUGACGUUAGCGACAGAAGAAGCACCGGCUAACUCCGUGCCAGCAGCCGCGGUAAUACGGAGGGUGCGAGCGUUAAUCGGAAUUACUGGGCGUAAAGCGCAUGCAGGUGGUUUGUUAAGUCAGAUGUGAAAGCCCGGGGCUCAACCUCGGAAUUGCAUUUGAAACUGGCAGACUAGAGUACUGUAGAGGGGGGUAGAAUUUCAGGUGUAGCGGUGAAAUGCGUAGAGAUCUGAAGGAAUACCGGUGGCGAAGGCGGCCCCCUGGACAGAUACUGACACUCAGAUGCGAAAGCGUGGGGAGCAAACAGGAUUAGAUACCCUGGUAGUCCACGCCGUAAACGAUGUCUACUUGGAGGUUGUGGCCUUGAGCCGUGGCUUUCGGAGCUAACGCGUUAAGUAGACCGCCUGGGGAGUACGGUCGCAAGAUUAAAACUCAAAUGAAUUGACGGGGGCCCGCACAAGCGGUGGAGCAUGUGGUUUAAUUCGAUGCAACGCGAAGAACCUUACCUACUCUUGACAUCCAGAGAACUUUCCAGAGAUGGAUUGGUGCCUUCGGGAACUCUGAGACAGGUGCUGCAUGGCUGUCGUCAGCUCGUGUUGUGAAAUGUUGGGUUAAGUCCCGCAACGAGCGCAACCCUUAUCCUUGUUUGCCAGCGAGUAAUGUCGGGAACUCCAGGGAGACUGCCGGUGAUAAACCGGAGGAAGGUGGGGACGACGUCAAGUCAUCAUGGCCCUUACGAGUAGGGCUACACACGUGCUACAAUGGCGCAUACAGAGGGCAGCCAACUUGCGAGAGUGAGCGAAUCCCAAAAAGUG